GUGGGGAAUAUUGGACAAUGGGCGAAAGCCUGAUCCAGCCAUGCCGCGUGUGUGAAGAAGGUCUUCGGAUUGUAAAGCACUUUAAGUUGGGAGGAAGGGCAGUAAGUUAAUACCUUGCUGUUUUGACGUUACCGACAGAAUAAGCACCGGCUAACUUCGUGCCAGCAGCCGCGGUAAUACGAAGGGUGCAAGCGUUAAUCGGAAUUACUGGGCGUAAAGCGCGCGUAGGUGGUUUUGUAAGUUGGAGGUGAAAUCCCCGGGCUCAACCUGGGAACUGCCUCCAAAACUGCAUGACUAGAGUACGGUAGAGAGUAGUGGAAUUUCCUGUGUAGCGGUGAAAUGCGUAGAUAUAGGAAGGAACACCAGUGGCGAAGGCGACUACCUGGACUGAUACUGACACUGAGGUGCGAAAGCGUGGGGAGCAAACAGGAUUAGAAACCCCUGUAGUCC
Molecule: ribosomal RNA, 450 nt
Filed under: uncultured bacterium
Lineage: Bacteria
Description: partial 16S ribosomal RNA
Rfam family: Bacterial small subunit ribosomal RNA
Source: RNAcentral